GUCUUUUUGAUAAUAAUUUAAAGUCUGACCUGCCCAAUGAUAAAUUUAAUGGCUGCGGUAAUUUGACCGUACAAAGGUAGCAUAAUCGUUAGUUUUUUAAUUGAAAGCUAGAAUGAAUGGUUGGACGAGAAAAUAACUGUCUCAAUUUAAUUGAAUUAGAAUUUUAUAUUUAAGUAAGAAAGCUUAGAUUUUUUUAAAAGACGAGAAGACCCUAUAGAGUUUAAUAUUUAAUUAAAUUUAAAAUUUAUAGUAUUAUUAUUUAUAGAUUUAAUUAAAUAUUUUGUUGGGGUGAUGGAAAAAUUUAAUAAACUUUUUUUUAUUUUAUACCAUUAAUUUAUGAAUUAUUGAUCCAUUAAUUAUGAUUAUAAGAUAAAAUUACCUUAGGGAUAACAGCGUAAUUUUUUUUGAGAGUUCUUAUCGAAAAAAAAGUUUGCGACCUCGAUGUUGGAUUAAAAUUUACUUUUGGUGUAGAAGCUAUUAGGUUAGGUCUGUUCGACCUUUAAAAUUUUACAUGAUCUGAGUU
This 523-nucleotide ribosomal RNA is filed under the name Chasmatopterus sp. BMNH 747062. RNAcentral describes it as "partial 16S ribosomal RNA". It matches the Rfam family "Bacterial large subunit ribosomal RNA", at positions 1819 to 2611 of the family's 2925-position model. The record is from RNAcentral. Lineage: Eukaryota; Metazoa; Arthropoda; Insecta; Coleoptera; Scarabaeidae.